Non-coding RNA from Jaapia argillacea MUCL 33604, 97 nucleotides. The record is from the annotation of a GenBank genome assembly. NCBI's taxonomy places the organism in Eukaryota, Fungi, Basidiomycota, Agaricomycetes, Jaapiales, Jaapiaceae.
GUCACUUUGCCGGAGUGGUUAACGGGAUCGCCUGCUACUUACAGUGGCCUUCAGCGGUUGGGCUUUGCCCGCGUGUGUUCGAAUCGCACAGGUGACG